UGCCUACAUCUGGUGUGAAAGGAAAGU
RNAcentral lists this non-coding RNA (27 nucleotides) under Rattus norvegicus (Norway rat). The record is from RNAcentral. Lineage: Eukaryota; Metazoa; Chordata; Mammalia; Rodentia; Muridae.